Molecule: ribosomal RNA, 556 nt
Filed under: uncultured bacterium
Lineage: Bacteria
Description: bacterial SSU rRNA
Rfam family: Bacterial small subunit ribosomal RNA
Source: RNAcentral
GGGAUUUUGCGCAUGGGCGAANCCUGNGCACAACGCCGCGUGGAGGAUGAAGGCCUUCGGGUCGUAAACUCCUGUCAGUGGGGACGAAUGCUUCGCAAGAGGUUUGACUGUACCCGCUGAGGAAGCCACGGCUAACUCCGUGCCAGCAGCCGCGGUAAUACGGAGGUGGCAAGCGUUGUUCGGAAUUACNUGGGCGUAAAGGGCGCGUAGGCNGGCNUUGGCAAGUCAGAUGUGAAAGCCCCGAGCUUAACUCGGGAAUUGCAUCUGAAACUGCUUUGCUUGAGUCCUGGAGGGGAUAGUGGAAUUCCCAGUGUAGCGGUGAAAUGCGUAGAUAUUGGGAGGAACACCUGCGGCGAAGGCGGCUAUCUGGACAGUGACUGACGCUGAGGCGCGAAAGCUAGGGGAGCGAACGGGAUUAGAUACCCCGGUAGUCCUAGCCGUAAACGAUGGGCACUUGGUGUUGGGGGUAUUGAGUCCCUCGGUGCCGGAGUUAACACGUUAAGUGCCCCGCCUGGGGAGUACGGUCGCAAGACUGAAACUCAAAGAAAUUGACGGA